Molecule: ribosomal RNA, 512 nt
Filed under: uncultured bacterium
Lineage: Bacteria
Description: partial 16S ribosomal RNA
Rfam family: Bacterial small subunit ribosomal RNA
Source: RNAcentral
GAUGAACGCUGGCGGCGUGCCUAAUACAUGCAAGUCGAACGAAACUUCUUUAUCACCGAGUGCUUGCACUCACCGAUAAAGAGUUGAGUGGCGAACGGGUGAGUAACACGUGGGCAACCUGCCCAAAAGAGGGGGAUAACACUUGGAAACAGGUGCUAAUACCGCAUAACCAUAGUUACCGCAUGGUAACUAUGUAAAAGGUGGCUAUACUACCGCUUUUGGAUGGGCCCGCGGCGCAUUAGCUAGUUGGUAGGGUAAAGGCUUACCAAGGCAAUGAUGCGUAGCCGAAUUGAGAGGUUGAUCGGCCACAUUGGGACUGAGACACGGCCCAAACUCCUACGGGAGGCAGCAGUAGGGAAUCUUCCACAAUGGGCGAAAGCCUGAUGGAGCAACGCCGCGUGGGUGAAGAAGGUCUUCGGAUCGUAAACCCCUGUUGUUAGAGAAGAAAGUGCGUGAGAGUAACUGUUCACGUUUCGACGGUAUCUAACCAGAAAGCCACGGCUAACUACGUG